AAAGACCUGCCUGCCCGCUCUCUGAGGAAACCGGAAGGGAAACUCUAAUCGGUAAUCUGCCAACACUCAAACCAAGCUCUGCCUCCGCCUAGCCCUCAGCCUGCCGACAGCCUCUGGACCCUCACGGUUCCCCCCUCAGCCGCUCAGCUCAACUCCUGUACAGUGAACCCACUCGUGACCAGUCCUGGACCUGUUAACUCUGUGUGCAUUUCAGAAUCCACUCGUGACCAGACGAGUUUCCCUUGGGAUCUGUUUAUUUAUUGUAUUCCAUCUUCUAAAUAAACGUUUGAACUUUUA
This is a long non-coding RNA of Cyprinodon tularosa, 297 nucleotides long. RefSeq lists it as uncharacterized. NCBI's taxonomy places the organism in Eukaryota, Metazoa, Chordata, Actinopteri, Cyprinodontiformes, Cyprinodontidae. The transcript is spliced from 2 exons. The record is from RefSeq and is a predicted model, not a curated record.